AGUGAACGCUGGCGGUAGGCCUAACACAUGCAAGUCGAACGGCAGCACAGUAAGAGCUUGCUCUUACGGGUGGCGAGUGGCGGACGGGUGAGGAAUACAUCGGAAUCUACUUUUUCGUGGGGGAUAACGUAGGGAAACUUACGCUAAUACCGCAUACGACCUACGGGUGAAAGCAGGGGAUCUUCGGACCUUGCGCGAUUGAAUGAGCCGAUGUCGGAUUAGCUAGUUGGCGAGGUAAAGGCCCACCAAGGCGACGAUGCGUAGCUGGUCUGAGAGGAGGAUCGGCCACACUGGAACAGAGACACGCGCCAGACGCCUACGGGAGGCAGCAGUAGGGAAGAUUAUGGAAUGGGGGCGAGCAUGACGGACCAACGCCGCGUGAGUGAUGAAGAUCUUCUGAUCGUAGAACUCUGUUUUUAGGGAAAAAAAAAUGUGCAAGUAAAUGUGCCCAUCUUGACGGUGCCUAAUCAGAAAGACACGGCUAACAACGUG
Molecule: ribosomal RNA, 492 nt
Filed under: uncultured bacterium
Lineage: Bacteria
Description: partial 16S ribosomal RNA
Rfam family: Bacterial small subunit ribosomal RNA
Source: RNAcentral